This is a long non-coding RNA of Vollenhovia emeryi, 1864 nucleotides long. RefSeq lists it as uncharacterized. NCBI's taxonomy places the organism in Eukaryota, Metazoa, Arthropoda, Insecta, Hymenoptera, Formicidae. The record is from RefSeq and is a predicted model, not a curated record. The transcript has 3 exons.
UUACCCAGUGAAAACAGUCAAGUCAAAAUGACGACAAUAUGACGUCAAAUUAGUCGAUUGUUGUCAUGGCGUCAAGAAAGUGGACCAAAAUGACGAAAAAUUGACACCAUAUAUUUUGACGUUGUACGCGAUGAAACAUCAUAAAGAAAGAUAAAAAUGGAUAUUUCAAUAAUAAUUGUAGAGUUAUAUGGGAAAAUCUCAAUCAAUGUCAUGUUGACAUCAAGAUGACUACAUUAUGAUAUCAUUUGAAUAUUCUAUAUAUCAUACUGUGAAGGUUUGGCUACAAAUAAAACUUACAUUUUCUCCACUUGUGGAGAAAGGGAAUACAAUUUAUUUUGUAUUCUUUUUACAUAUAAUAAUUUUAUAAAAUCGCGGUCUAUAACUUAUUGUUAGUUGCGUCGGUAACUCGGAUGGACUCGGAUCCACGGCCCACCGCCCAUGCCGAGGACCAAUCGCAUCGACUGACAAGUGAGAGCGAGUAGGAAGUAGGACAGAACGUCAUUUUUUCUCUCUCGGCGUGACGAACUCUGAAGAGCGGGCGCGCGACUCUGUAUGCAUGAGUGGAGGGGGAAACCAGCAGUGAGUGUGCUCGGGCUCGAAGUCGCGGCACGUAAUGGCUGUGUUUUGCCGAACCUCUGCAGCUAAGCAAUCGUUCGUUUGAUAGUUUCAAUGGUGAUUUCGAUUACAGUGCCGCUUAACUCAGCAUCAGCGCUUCUGUCCAGCCAAAUAUUUGUAGGCAAGUGCUCGCCCCUUAAGUGCGCUUAUAGUUGAACAGAGGUUCGGCAAAACAGUCAAGUUUUGGUACCGGUUUUGUGCACGUGCCGUGCACGUGCCGGUGUUGCUGCGUGUCUCCAUGUGUCUCGUGCCCACGUAUCUGCAUACUCGACGACCACAACACAGGCAAGCGCUCGCCGCUUAAGUGCGCUUAUAUAGUUGAACAGAGGUUCGGCAAAACAGCCAAGUUUUGGUACCGGUCUUGUGCACGUGUCGGUGUUGCCUGUGAAGGUAUAAAUAUAUUUUUGUGUAGCAGAUGAUAAUAGAUCUGCUCUCGGACAGGUGGUCAACAUUCUGAUCGACAAUGGAUACAAGACAAGUGCAGUUAAAUUGCGAUUUCCUUCGAGUUUUUUAACUGACACUGAGGCAAAAAUUAAGCGUUGGUUCCAAACUGCCAAUGGAAGAAAAGCUGAUUCUCAAAGUUAUUCUAAAGUAUAACUUGUUUGUAAGACUCAUUCCCACUAAGCGCGACGCGUAAUGUGUUCAGUAAAAUUACGCAUAGAUUUUAUUUUUUAUGUUAGAUGGUAAUGUGGGGCUUAUAUAAAACAUUGAAGCCCAAUUAGUCAAACAUUGUGAUUAUUACACAUAAUUAUAUGUGUUUACAUUUUUGUUUUAUUUAAAGUAAUAUAAUUAAAUAGAUAUAUUACUUAAUAAAUGUCAUACUACCAUGGUAUACUAUAACAUACCAUGGUAGUAUGACAUAUAUUCUAAAGUAUAACUUGUUUGUAAGACUCAUUCCCACUAAGCGCGACGCGUAAUAUGUUCAGUAAAAUUACGCAUAGAUUUUAUUUUUGUUAGAUGGUAAUGUAGGGCUUAUAUAAAACAUUGAAGCCCAAUUAGUCAAACAUUGUGAUUAUUACACAUAAUUAUAUGUGUUUGUAUUUUUUGUUUUAUUUAAAGUAAUAUAAUUAAAUAGAUAUAUUACUUAAUAAAUGUCAUACUACCAUGGUAUACUAUAACAUACCAUGGUAGUAUGACAUAUAUAUGAUAUAUUCAUAUACAUAUAUGAUAUAUUCAUAUAAUACGGUAUAUGAAAUGUUCUAUACUAUAUUUUAUAGCAAAAGGUCAAUAAAAAAACUAAUAAUAUAUA